GCCAGGCGUGGUGGCCCACGCCUGUAAUUCCAGCACUUUGGGAGGCCAAGGUGGGUGGAUCAUGAGGUCAGGAGAUCAAGACCAUCCUGGUUAACACAGUGAAACCCCGUCUCUACUAAAAAUACAAAAAAAAAAAAAANNNNNNNNNNUAGUAGAGACGGGGUUUCACUGUGUUAACCAGGAUGGUCUUGAUCUCCUGACCUCAUGAUCCACCCACCUUGGC
This 223-nucleotide signal recognition particle RNA is filed under the name Chlorocebus sabaeus (green monkey). RNAcentral's name for it is "Metazoan signal recognition particle RNA". It matches the Rfam family "Metazoan signal recognition particle RNA". Rfam says of the family: The signal recognition particle (SRP) is a universally conserved ribonucleoprotein. It is involved in the co-translational targeting of proteins to membranes. The eukaryotic SRP consists of a 300-nucleotide 7S RNA and six proteins: SRPs 72, 68, 54, 19, 14, and 9. Lineage: Eukaryota; Metazoa; Chordata; Mammalia; Primates; Cercopithecidae. The record is from Rfam by way of RNAcentral.